RNAcentral lists this non-coding RNA (28 nucleotides) under Mus musculus (house mouse). Lineage: Eukaryota; Metazoa; Chordata; Mammalia; Rodentia; Muridae. The record is from RNAcentral.
UGGUGACCAAGCUUUAACACAUGGGCCU